CCUACGGGGGGCUGCAGUGGGGAAUAUUGGACAAUGGGGGGAACCCUGAUCCAGCCAUGCCGCGUGUGUGAAGAAGGCCCUCGGGUUGUAAAGCACUUUCAGUGAGGAAGAACGCCUGGUGGUUAAUACCCAUCAGGAAAGACAUCACUCACAGAAGAAGCACCGGCUAACUCCGUGCCAGCAGCCGCGGUAAUACGGAGGGUGCGAGCGUUAAUCGGAAUUACUGGGCGUAAAGCGCGCGUAGGUGGCUUGAUAAGCCGGUUGUGAAAGCCCCGGGCUCAACCUGGGAACGGCAUCCGGAACUGUCAAGCUAGAGUGCAGGAGAGGAAGGUAGAGUUCCCGGUGUAGCGGUGAAAUGCGUAGAGAUCGGGAGGAAUACCAGUGGCGAAGGCGGCCUUCUGGACUGACACUGACACUGAGGUGCGAAAGCGUGGGUAGCAAACAGGAUUAGAUACCCUGGUAGUA
This 465-nucleotide ribosomal RNA is filed under the name Vreelandella stevensii. RNAcentral's name for it is "partial 16S ribosomal RNA". It matches the Rfam family "Bacterial small subunit ribosomal RNA", at positions 338 to 795 of the family's 1533-position model. The record is from RNAcentral. Lineage: Bacteria; Pseudomonadati; Pseudomonadota; Gammaproteobacteria; Oceanospirillales; Halomonadaceae.